AGUGAACGCUGGCGGUAGGCCUAACACAUGCAAGUCGAACGGCAGCACAGUAAGAGCUUGCUCUUACGGGUGGCGAGUGGCGGACGGGUGAGGAAUACAUCGGAAUCUACUUUUUCGUGGGGGAUAACGUAGGGAAACUUACGCUAAUACCGCAUACGACCUACGGGUGAAAGCAGGGGAUCUUCGGACCUUGCGCGAUUGAAUGAGCCGAUGUCGGAUUAGCUAGUUGGCGGGGUAAAGGCCCACCAAGGCGACGAUCCGUAGCUGGUCUGAGAGGAUGAUCAGCCACACUGGAACUGAGACACGGUCCAGACUCCUACGGGAGGCAGCAGUGGGGAAUAUUGGACAAUGGGCGCAAGCCUGAUCCAGCCAUACCGCGUGGGUGAAGAAGGCCUUCGGGUUGUAAAGCCCUUUUGUUGGGAAAGAAAAGCAGCAGGUUAAUACCCCGCUGUUCCGACGGUACCCAAAGAAUAAGCACCGGCUAACUUCCUG
This 492-nucleotide ribosomal RNA is filed under the name uncultured bacterium. RNAcentral's name for it is "partial 16S ribosomal RNA". It matches the Rfam family "Bacterial small subunit ribosomal RNA", at positions 29 to 507 of the family's 1533-position model. The record is from RNAcentral.